Molecule: ribosomal RNA, 506 nt
Filed under: uncultured Cladosporium
Lineage: Eukaryota; Fungi; Ascomycota; Dothideomycetes; Cladosporiales; Cladosporiaceae
Description: eukaryotic LSU rRNA
Rfam family: 5.8S ribosomal RNA (bases 170-323)
Source: RNAcentral
GGAGGGAUCAUUACAAGUGACCCCGGUCUAACCACCGGGAUGUUCAUAACCCUUUGUUGUCCGACUCUGUUGCCUCCGGGGCGACCCUGCCUUCGGGCGGGGGCUCCGGGUGGACACUUCAAACUCUUGCGUAACUUUGCAGUCUGAGUAAACUUAAUUAAUAAAUUAAAACUUUUAACAACGGAUCUCUUGGUUCUGGCAUCGAUGAAGAACGCAGCGAAAUGCGAUAAGUAAUGUGAAUUGCAGAAUUCAGUGAAUCAUCGAAUCUUUGAACGCACAUUGCGCCCCCUGGUAUUCCGGGGGGCAUGCCUGUUCGAGCGUCAUUUCACCACUCAAGCCUCGCUUGGUAUUGGGCAUCGCGGUCCGCCGCGUGCCUCAAAUCGACCGGCUGGGUCUUCUGUCCCCUAAGCGUUGUGGAAACUAUUCGCUAAAGGGUGUUCGGGAGGCUACGCCGUAAAACAACCCCAUUUCUAAGGUUGACCUCGGAUCAGGUAGGGAUACCCGCU